GGGGAAUUUUGGACAAUGGGGGCAACCCUGAUCCAGCCAUGCCGCGUGAGUGAAGAAGGCCUUCGGGUUGUAAAGCUCUUUCGGCGGGGAAGAAAUGGCAACGGCUAAUAUCCGUUGUUGAUGACGGUACCCGCAUAAGAAGCACCGGCGAACUACGAGCCAGCAGCCGCGGUAAUACGUAGGGUGCGAGCGUUAAUCGGAAUCACUGGGCGUAAAGGGUGCGUAGGCGGGUUUCUAAGUCAGAGGUGAAAGCCUGGAGCUCAACUCCAGAACUGCCUUUGAUACUGGAAGUCUUGAGUAUGGCAGAGGUGAGUGGAACUGCGAGUGUAGAGGUGAAAUUCGUAGAUAUUCGCAAGAACACCAGUGGCGAAGGCGGCUCACUGGGCCAUUACUGACGAUGAGGCACGAAAGCGUGGGGAGCAAACA
RNAcentral lists this ribosomal RNA (426 nucleotides) under uncultured Pseudomonadota bacterium. RNAcentral's name for it is "bacterial SSU rRNA". It matches the Rfam family "Bacterial small subunit ribosomal RNA", at positions 356 to 774 of the family's 1533-position model. Lineage: Bacteria; Pseudomonadati; Pseudomonadota. The record is from RNAcentral.